CCUACGGGGGGCUGCAGUGGGGAAUAUUGCACAAUGGGCGCAAGCCUGAUGCAGCCAUGCCGCGUGUGUGAAGAAGGCCUUCGGGUUGUAAAGCACUAUCAGCGGGGAGGAAGGCGGUGAGGUUAAUAACCUCAUCGAUUGACGUUACCCGCAGAAGAAGCACCGGCUAACUCCGUGCCAGCAGCCGCGGUAAUACGGAGGGUGCAAGCGUUAAUCGGAAUUACUGGGCGUAAAGCGCACGCAGGCGGUCUGUCAAGUCGGAUGUGAAAUCCCCGGGCUCAACCUGGGAACUGCAUUCGAAACUGGCAGGCUAGAGUCUUGUAGAGGGGGGUAGAAUUCCAGGUGUAGCGGUGAAAUGCGUAGAGAUCUGGAGGAAUACCGGUGGCGAAGGCGGCCCCCUGGACAAAGACUGACGCUCAGGUGCGAAAGCGUGGGGAGCAAACAGGAUUAGAUACCCCAGUAGUC
RNAcentral lists this ribosomal RNA (465 nucleotides) under uncultured Klebsiella sp. Its description in RNAcentral is "bacterial SSU rRNA". It matches the Rfam family "Bacterial small subunit ribosomal RNA", at positions 338 to 795 of the family's 1533-position model. Lineage: Bacteria; Pseudomonadati; Pseudomonadota; Gammaproteobacteria; Enterobacterales; Enterobacteriaceae. The record is from RNAcentral.